CAUCAGCGUGAGGGAUAGAGGCGGUAUCCUUUUAUUUGUCCCGAUAGCUAUCGGGACGGAAUAAAAGAUAUAGCCGAUCCCGAAGCCUC
RNAcentral lists this small RNA (89 nucleotides) under Flavobacterium cutihirudinis. Its description in RNAcentral is "Flavo-1 RNA". The record is from RNAcentral. Lineage: Bacteria; Pseudomonadati; Bacteroidota; Flavobacteriia; Flavobacteriales; Flavobacteriaceae.